ACUGUACAAGGCGGUUCCUGGCGCCCACGCAUACAUACGAAAUUACAAUGUUAAAUUGCCUUCGAGACAUCGGCUUGGAUGUAAUUUUCGUACAUUAUUAAAUUACUGGAUACCUAACGCAAAUGGAAAUUUUCCGCAAAAAUAUACGACGGGGGUUAAACAUAUACAAUACGAUAUAAAACGCCAACGUUAGAAAACUGAUUA
Non-coding RNA from Cinara cedri, 204 nucleotides. The record is from the annotation of a GenBank genome assembly. NCBI's taxonomy places the organism in Eukaryota, Metazoa, Arthropoda, Insecta, Hemiptera, Aphididae.